UGCAGUCGAACGAAGUAGCAAUACUUAGUGGCGAACGGGUGAGUAUAAUGUGGGUAUCUGCCCUUUGGUUUGGAAUAACACGAGGAAACUUGUGCUAAUACCGGAUAAGCCUUCACAGGGAAAGCUUUAGCGCCAAAGGAUGAGCCUGCACUUGAUUAGCUAGUUGGUAGGGUAAUGGCCUACCAAGGCAACGACCAAUAGCUGUUCUUAGAGGAAGACCAGCCACAUUGGGACUGAGACACGGCCCAAACUCAUACGGGAGGCAGCAGUGGGGAAUCUUGCACAGUGGGGGAAACCCUGAUGCAGCGAUGCCGCGUGAGUGAAGAAGGCCUUUGGGUUGUAAGGCUCUUUCGUCGGGGAAGAAAAUGACUGUACCCGAAUAAGAAGGUCCGGCUAACUUCGUGCCAGCAGCCGCGGUAAUACGAAGGGACCUAGCGUAGUUCGGAAUUACUGGGCUUAAAGAGCUCGUAGGUGGUUAGAGAAGUUGGUGGUGAAAUCCCAAGGCUUAACCUUGGAACUGCCACUAAAACUUUUUGACUAGAGUGUGAUAGAGGUAAGUGGAAUUUCUAGUGUAGAGGUGAAAUUCGUAGAUAUUAGAAAGAACACCAAUUGCGAAGGCAGCUUUCUGGAUCAUUACUGACACUGAGGAGCGAAAGCAUGGGUAGCGAAGAGGAUUAGAUACCCUCGUAGUCCAUGCCGUAAACGAUGUGUGCUAGACGUUGGAAACGUAGUUUUCAGUGUCGCAGCAAAAGCAUUAAGCACACCGCCUGGGGAGUACGACCGCAAGGUUAAAACUCAAGUGAAUUGACGGGGA
This 814-nucleotide ribosomal RNA is filed under the name uncultured marine bacterium. RNAcentral's name for it is "bacterial SSU rRNA". It matches the Rfam family "Bacterial small subunit ribosomal RNA", at positions 56 to 919 of the family's 1533-position model. The record is from RNAcentral.